Molecule: unclassified non-coding RNA, 357 nt
Filed under: soil metagenome
Description: partial contains 5.8S ribosomal RNA, internal transcribed spacer 2, and large subunit ribosomal RNA
Rfam family: 5.8S ribosomal RNA (bases 1-120)
Source: RNAcentral
GAUGAAGAACGUAGCGAAAUGCGAUAAGUAAUGUGAAUUGCAGAAUUCAGUGAAUCAUCGAAUCUUUGAACGCACAUUGCGCCCGCCGGCACUCCGGCGGGCAUGCCUGUCCGAGCGUCAUUUCAACCCUCAGGCCCGAACCCCCCCGGGGGGGGCGGGCCUGGUGUUGGGGCUCGGGGUCCGCGAGGCCCCCGUCCCCUAAAUCCAGUGGCGGUCGCGCCGCACCCUCCCCUGCGUAGUAGCACACCUCGCACCGGAGAGCAGCGCGUCCACGCCGUGAAACCCCCCACUUACCAAGGUUGACCUCGGAUCAGGUAGGAAUACCCGCUGAACUUAAGCAUAUCAAUAAGCGGAGGA